This 484-nucleotide ribosomal RNA is filed under the name uncultured bacterium. Its description in RNAcentral is "partial 16S ribosomal RNA". It matches the Rfam family "Bacterial small subunit ribosomal RNA", at positions 28 to 507 of the family's 1533-position model. The record is from RNAcentral.
AUUGAACGCUGGCGGCAUGCUUUACACAUGCAAGUCGAACGGCAGCGCGGGCUUCGGCCUGGCGGCGAGUGGCGAACGGGUGAGUAAUGCAUCGGAACGUGCCCAGUAGUGGGGGAUAGCCCGGCGAAAGCCGGGUUAAUACCGCAUACGACCUGAGGGUGAAAGCGGGGGACCGAAAGGCCUCGCGCUAUUGGAGCGGCCGAUGUCGGAUUAGCUAGUUGGUGGGGUAAAGGCUUACCAAGGCGACGAUCCGUAGCUGGUCUGAGAGGACGACCAGCCACACUGGGACUGAGACACGGCCCAGACUCCUACGGGAGGCAGCAGUGGGGAAUUUUGGACAAUGGGGGCAACCCUGAUCCAGCCAUGCCGCGUGCGGGAAGAAGGCCUUCGGGUUGUAAACCGCUUUUGUUCGGGAAGAAAUACUCUGGGCUAAUACCCCGGGGGGAUGACGGUACCGGAAGAAUAAGCACCGGCUAACUACGUG